CCCGGUGGCGUUGCCGGAGGGGCCACACCCGUUCCCAUCCCGAACACGGAAGUUAAGCCCUCCUGGGCCGAUGGUACUGCGUGGGCGACUGCGUGGGAGAGUAGGUCGCUGCCGGGU
RNAcentral lists this ribosomal RNA (117 nucleotides) under Candidatus Rokuibacteriota bacterium. The record is from RNAcentral. Lineage: Bacteria; Candidatus Rokuibacteriota.